Molecule: non-coding RNA, 24 nt
Filed under: Arabidopsis thaliana (thale cress)
Lineage: Eukaryota; Viridiplantae; Streptophyta; Magnoliopsida; Brassicales; Brassicaceae
Source: RNAcentral
GUCUACCUCAGUCACUGCUCCAAC